This 101-nucleotide microRNA precursor is filed under the name Gallus gallus (chicken). RNAcentral describes it as "microRNA 1659 (MIR1659)". The record is from RNAcentral. Lineage: Eukaryota; Metazoa; Chordata; Aves; Galliformes; Phasianidae.
CACUAGUUUCAUAUCCAGAGGAAGACUUCAUUUUAUUUAAUGUUUUCAUUUCACUGAAUAGGGCAGAAUGAAGGAGUCCCUGCCUGUGGUGAGUGACAGUG